ACGCUGGCGGUAGGCUUAACACAUGCAAGUCGUGCGAGAAAAUAUCUUCGGAUAUGAGUAGAGCGGCGGACGGGUGAGUAACGCGUAGGAAUCUACCUAGUAGAAGGGGAUAGCCCGGGGAAACUCGGAUUAAUACCGUAUACCUCCUUUGGGAGAAAGAAGGCCUCUCUUUGAAGCUUUCGCUAUUAGAUGAGCCUGCGUAAGAUUAGCUUGUUGGUGAGGUAAAGGCUCACCAAGGCGACGAUCUUUAGCGGGUCUGAGAGGACGAUCCGCCACAUUGGGACUGAGACACGGCCCAGACUCCUACGGGAGGCAGCAGUGGGGAAUAUUGGACAAUGGGCGCAAGCCUGAUCCAGCCAUACCGCGUGUGUGAAGAAGGCCCUAGGGUUGUAAAGCACUUUAAGUUGGGAAGAAAAGUUAUUGAUUAAUACCCAAUAACCGUGACAUUACCAUCAGAAUAAGGACCGGCUAAUUCCGUGCCAGCAGCCGCGGUAAUACGGAAGGUCCAAGCGUUAAUCGGAAUUACUGGGCGUAAAGCGCGCGUAGGUGGUUUAUUAAGUUGGAUGUGAAAUCCCCGGGCUCAACCUGGGAACUGCAUCCAAAACUGAUUCACUAGAGUACGAUAGAGGGAGGUAGAAUUCACAGUGUAGCGGUGGAAUGCGUAGAUAUUGUGAAGAAUACCAAUGGCGAAGGCAGCCUCCUGGAUCUGUACUGACACUAAGGUGCGAAAGCGUGGGUAGCGAACAGGAUUAGAUACCCUGGUAGUCCACGCCGUAAACGAUGUCAACUAGCUGUUGGAGAACUAUGUUUUUCAGUGGCGCAGCUAACGUAGUAAGUUGACCGCCUGGGGAGUACGGCC
This 859-nucleotide ribosomal RNA is filed under the name uncultured Gammaproteobacteria bacterium. RNAcentral's name for it is "bacterial SSU rRNA". It matches the Rfam family "Bacterial small subunit ribosomal RNA", at positions 33 to 887 of the family's 1533-position model. The record is from RNAcentral. Lineage: Bacteria; Pseudomonadati; Pseudomonadota; Gammaproteobacteria.